RNAcentral lists this ribosomal RNA (447 nucleotides) under uncultured bacterium. Its description in RNAcentral is "partial 16S ribosomal RNA". It matches the Rfam family "Bacterial small subunit ribosomal RNA", at positions 29 to 523 of the family's 1533-position model. The record is from RNAcentral.
AACGAACGCUGGCGGCAGGCCUAAAACAUGCAAGUCGAACGCCCAGCAAGGGGAGUGGCGCACGGGUGAGUAACGCGUGGGAACGUGCCCUUCAGUACGGGACAACGUCGGGAAACUGACGCUAAUACCGUAUAAUAACUCCGGUUCAAAGAUUUAUCGCUGAAGGAGCGGCCCGCGUCUGAUUAGCUAGUUGGUGAGGUAACGGCUCACCAAGGCUACGAUCAGUAGCAGGUCUGAGAGGAUGAUCUGCCACACUGGGACUGAGACACGGCCCAGACUCCUACGGGAGGCAGCAGUUAGGAAUAUUGGACAAUGGGGGAAACCCUGAUCCAGCCAUGCCGCGUGUGUGAUGAAGGCCCUAGGGUUGUAAAGCACUUUCGUUGGGGAUGAUAAUGACCGUACCCAAAGAAGAAGCACCGGCUAACUUCGUGCCAGCAGCCGCGGUAA